Non-coding RNA from Equus caballus (horse), 573 nucleotides. Lineage: Eukaryota; Metazoa; Chordata; Mammalia; Perissodactyla; Equidae. The record is from Rfam.
CUUCCCGCGCCCAGCCCGGAGCCCGCCACUACCGAGGACCUUGACCUCGCGCGGACCUCGUCGCCUCGUUUAGCUCUCCCUGACCUGCUUUUGAACCCGCUAAUCCUGUCCCGAACUCUCGCCCCGCAGCCAUGCCUCGCCCCAGCCCCGGCGCUCUAAUUCCCGCUGACCCCGCCGCCCCUCGCGGCUCGCCGGGCUUUGAAGGGCGGCGAGGGCUCCGGGCCUCCGAGUGCGGUGCGAUCUGGUGCGCGGGCUGGGACCGCCCGGCAUCGCCCCUGCCCGCGCUCACACGCCCUCGGACCCAAACAGUCUCGUGUUGCAAACAUUCUUUCCUUCUCUUGCUUUGGCUGGUUUCCCCUUAGUUUAACUCGUUUCUUUAAGAAACCUAUCAGACCCACAAAGAUCAAAAUGUUGGGUAACAUGCUAAGCUGGCGACGCUGUGGGGAAGCCGGCACCUUCACACGGAGCUGGAGAAUCAUGAGGGCGCAGAAAGGGUAAGCCGGAGGCGGGCUGUCCGGAGCGAGCGCCAGGCGCGGGCCAAAGCGGAAAAGGCAGGACCGAGAACGGAGGCCA